ACGGAGGAUCCGAGCGUUAUCCGGAUUUAUUGGGUUUAAAGGGUGCGUAGGUGGCCUGUUAAGUCAGUGGUGAAAGCUCCCAGCUCAACUGGGAAACUGCCAUUGAUACUGAUAGUCUUGAGUAUGAUUGAAGUGGGCGGAAUGUGUCAUGUAGCGGUGAAAUGCUUAGAUAUGACACAGAACACCGAUUGCGAAGGCAGCUCACUAAGCCAUAACUGACGCUGAUGCACGAAAGCGUGGGGAGCAAACAGGA
RNAcentral lists this ribosomal RNA (253 nucleotides) under uncultured prokaryote. RNAcentral describes it as "partial 16S ribosomal RNA". It matches the Rfam family "Bacterial small subunit ribosomal RNA", at positions 525 to 777 of the family's 1533-position model. The record is from RNAcentral.